Molecule: small nucleolar RNA, 98 nt
Organism: Vitis vinifera (wine grape)
Lineage: Eukaryota; Viridiplantae; Streptophyta; Magnoliopsida; Vitales; Vitaceae
Rfam family: Small nucleolar RNA snoR31/Z110/Z27
About the family: This family contains several related snoRNAs including R31, Z27 and Z110. Family members belong to the C/D class of snoRNAs which contain the C (UGAUGA) and D (CUGA) box motifs. Most of the members of the box C/D family function in directing site-specific 2'-O-methylation of substrate RNAs.
Source: Rfam
AUCAUCAAGUGAUGAAAUUAGUAUAAAUCUUAGGACACCUUCCUACACAACUUGCAAUGGUUGUGGAUGAGAAUGCUAUUACUUAUUCUGAUGAUGAU